GUCUAUAGCCAUGCCAUCCUGAACAAGCCUGAUCCCAUCUGAUCUCAGAAGCUAAGCGGGGUCGGGCCUGGUUAGUACUUGGAUGGGAGACCACCUAGGAAGACCAGGUGCAAUAGGUG
This 119-nucleotide ribosomal RNA is filed under the name Pteropus alecto (black flying fox). The record is from RNAcentral. Lineage: Eukaryota; Metazoa; Chordata; Mammalia; Chiroptera; Pteropodidae.